ACGAACGCUGGCGGCGUGCUUAACACCUGCAAGUCGAACGGAAAGGCCCUGCCUUUGUGGGGUGCUCGAGUGGCGAACGGGUGAGUAACACGUGAGUAACCUGCCCUUGACUUUGGGAUAACUUCAGGAAACUGGGGCUAAUACCGGAUAGGAGCUCCUGCUGCAUGGUGGGGGUUGGAAAGUUUCGGCGGUUGGGGAUGGACUCGCGGCUUAUCAGCUUGUUGGUGGGGUAGUGGCUUACCAAGGCUUUGACGGGUAGCCGGCCUGAGAGGGUGACCGGCCACAUUGGGACUGAGAUACGGCCCAGACUCCUACGGGAGGCAGCAGUGGGGAAUAUUGCACAAUGGGCGGAAGCCUGAUGCAGCAACGCCGCGUGCGGGAUGACGGCCUUCGGGUUGUAAACCGCUUUCGCCUGUGACGAAGCGUGAGUGACGGUAAUGGGUAAAGAAGCACCGGCUAACUACGUG
This 467-nucleotide ribosomal RNA is filed under the name uncultured bacterium. RNAcentral's name for it is "partial 16S ribosomal RNA". It matches the Rfam family "Bacterial small subunit ribosomal RNA", at positions 29 to 507 of the family's 1533-position model. The record is from RNAcentral.